RNAcentral lists this long non-coding RNA (936 nucleotides) under Fukomys damarensis (Damara mole-rat). RNAcentral describes it as "lncRNA (ENSFDAG00000023831.1)". Lineage: Eukaryota; Metazoa; Chordata; Mammalia; Rodentia; Bathyergidae. The record is from RNAcentral.
CACCAUGUGGUGGGUGUCUUUCCAUUUCCCAGCAGAGGGCACUAAGACUGAUGGAAGAAACACAUCUGAUCCCAAGUGCAACUCAAAGACAAGUCUGACUGAUUACAAAGUUCUACUUUUCCCAGCAUGGUAGCCAACAACCUAAGUGGAUUUAAGGAGGCAUUGGAUGACAUGAGAAGGUGGAAAACAAAGGUUCCGGAACUCACCAGUUCACAGCUUCUCUGGCAAUAGUCUCACCUCCCUCUUGGACCUUUCUCCAGCUCAUGAGUGAAGCCAAGUCUUCAGUGGUUCCCAGGAAAACAGUGGAGGUAUGGUGUUGAACUCUGCUAGCAAUGCUGGAAGUCAAGCAGAACAAUACACACCUGUCAGAGAGGAUAUGACCUUUAGGGUGUGUGACCCAGGAGGAAACCUGGCAAGAUACAGAGCCCCAGAAACUACUGCCUGAAGCAAGACAAUGGACUUUCAAAAGAAAAUGUCAGCAUUAAUAGACAGCCACACUAGAAGAGAAAGAUAGUACCAUUUCAAGGUUAUUUGAAGUUCAUCUCUACCUUUUAAGUGGAGUCCCAGGACUGGAAAUUCAUAAAUAUUUGCUCUGGGAGCAAGUGACCACAUCCAUUCCAAGAUGAAGGAUAAGUAUGCAAAUAUGUAUAUCCAGAUGUUGUUGCAACCUUGUAUGCCUCACCUGGGUGGUCAGUAAUUUUUAGAAGAAAUAUACAAGUGGUUUGACAUCACAGAAAUUUGCUCAACUUUCCUUAGGAUAGCAGCGUCCUUUUAUUUCACAGCUGUAUGUUUGUUCUUGUCUGUCUCUGCUCACUCCAAAAAAGUUUUUAAAAGGUUUGAUUUGUGUUUUUAAUAACAUUGUUAGAACAUCUAUAGAUUUACAGAAAAUUUAUGAAAAAAUACAAAAAAAAUUUUCAUGUGCUUAUUAAUAUCCAG